UCGCGUCCGACUUUUUAUUGUAAAAGUCGGGCUAAACGUUCGGGAAAAUCGGAAAAGGGUCGCGUAAAGCCGUCGUACCUCGUUUCGUAUCGUUUCCGCGUAUUUUCGUUGUUUUUUCCACGGUUCAACCUGUUUUUCCUGAAAGUAACCGCAACGGCUUCUUCCAUAGACACCAGGUGCGUCGCGAGGUUGUCUGGAGUGCCGUCAAAACAGGGAUGAACCGAACUGCGAAACCUGUCUUCCACGCAGGCAUAUCGGGAAAUGGGAGAGGUACGCAGGGAACCAGAGGGGCACCACAAGCUCAGUUUUAAAUGCCUGGAGAUGCUCCCAACGAUGGCUAUAAAAGCAACUUUGUAGCCACAGAUAUACUGGAACGAGAAUUGGGUCUGGAAUCUGGAUAUGGAAAUCGGGCUGAGGAACUGGAUUGGACGAGGGUUAUGGACACUGGCUAUGAUAAGUCGGGCUGAGGACCGGGAUUCGAGCAGAUGCGACAAAAACGCGACAACGAUGCGACUGGAUAUGGACACUGGAUAUGGAGACUAGACAUGGAGACUAGAUAUAACUGGAUAUGGCUGCGGAUAUAAAUUGGCACAGGUAAUCUAUUUUUUCUUUUUUUGCGAA
Molecule: long non-coding RNA, 621 nt
Organism: Anthonomus grandis grandis
Lineage: Eukaryota; Metazoa; Arthropoda; Insecta; Coleoptera; Curculionidae
Exons: 6
Source: RefSeq, a predicted model, not a curated record